UCUGAGAGAAGAGGAGCAGCAGGAGGAGACGGACCAUCCUCCUCUCCUCUGUAAUGACAAGCUCUCAUCCCCCCCCCCCCCUCUCUCUCUCUCUUCAACUCCUCAGAAACAACCCUCAUCCUCCAGGACUCUCCCUCAUCGCGCUCCUUCUUCCUUCCUUCACUUUCGCCUAUUUUCCAUCAUUUUUCUCCCCAUCCUUUUCUUUUUACUUUCUCUGAAACCCGUCCUCAACCCUCAACACCUCCAGAGAUGUGAGGAGAUAAUGAGGACCCCCUGCCAGCGCUGCUGACUUGGAAGAUCCGUGCAUCCUCAUCUUUUGCUCUGUUUUUUCCUCUCUCCCUCUCUCUCUCUCUCUCUCUCCUUUUUUCUCGGAGGUUCAUCUGCCUCUCAACAAUGUAAGCGACGUACUGUCAGUUCAGUGAUGAAGAAGCACACUACUUGGCCCGUUUUCCCCGCAUCUUAUGUGCUCGCUCUUUCAGCCGGAGGGAAGGAAUGAAGGAUUUUGCGCGGAGGCAAAGUUUGAGGGCACCUCCUCACCUGCCCGCCUCUGCCUUUAACCGAUUACCAGGAAGAGAGCAAAAACAACAGAUGAAGAACUUCUGAGCGAGCUGACUAUUGUUCUGGCGUUUUUAUUUAUUCAUUUAUUUUUCGCUUGAGUGGGAUUUGGUCACCUUCCUGGAGGAAUUCGAGGUGCGCCACGCUGAAGGAUAUGACUUAGAACAAAGAUGCUGGCGUUGACAGCUGGAGUAAGGUCCGUGACUUGAGUGCUUUUCUCACUUCAAACUAGAAAUUGCCCCAGACUUAGGUGAAAAGCCGUCCAAAUGGGAGGAUACCUGGAGGACUGAGGCGGAUUCGGCAGCCGAGAUAAGAUGUGGAUAAAAAGGAGCGCUGCGCGCAGGACUCUCCUCACUUGCAUUGACUUGCUACGCUGGAGGCUGGCAGGAUCAGGGAAGGUGGAGUGAAUGGAAACAAAAUUUCGUCUGCUCUGAGGCCAGGCAGCUGUGUGGGACACUGGGUCUGGAUCCUGCUGGCCAUGACUCACCUCACCUUGGACUUCUCUGUGUGCAGCCCCCUCAGCCCGGGCCUGGGGAUCAAGCUCACACCUAAAUUGGUUGCUCGCUCCUGGCCUCGGUUGCAACCUCUCUGGGAUAUGCCCAACAAGCUUCACUGGAGGACAGUGGGCCCAUUGGCGCGUCGACUCCUCCACCCCGUUCCUCCACCUCAAGAGAACAGGGCAGGGAUGGGGCUAAAAUGCAAAGGUCAAAUGCACCGGAAGUUAGCACAUAGAGGACAAGCGGCAUGUAAGGAUUGCUGGUCCAAAUACUCUCAAACAGAGCCAAGUGAUCCUUUGGCUGGGAUAGUAGAAACUCCAGUGGCGUCAAGAGGAAAGUUGUUAAUUAGAGCCAGGAGGCAACUCAAAGGGAACAGCUACAACAAGCUUCAGGAGGGCCCGAAUGCUACGGUGAAUACUAAGGGGACUACUACGGUGCCUAGUUUCAUAGACUGGGGACCCACAGGGACAGAUAGCAAUGAUGAUGACAGCAAAGGAGAAAUCAAUGAAAGGCUAUCCACCAGGGCCUCACUCACGACAGUGGCAACAACUACUGGCACUACUUCAAGGGUCUCUGAAAGGACGUUCACUGUGGUGACCUCAACACAGUCCAAGAGUACCACUAAGUCCUCUAUCAGCAAAUCAGAGACUGCCAAACCACCAAAGCCAUACGGGGACACACCAGGUUUGGCAGUUCACCAGAUUAUCACAAUCACUGUGUCUCUCAUCAUGGUGAUCGCAGCCUUGAUCACAACACUCGUCCUUAAAAACUGCUGUGCGCAGUCUGGAAAUGGCCGCCACAAUAGCCAUCAGAGAAAGAUCCACCAGCAGGAGGAAAGCUGCCAGAACCUGACAGACUUCACGCCGGCCCGCGUGCCCAGCAAGGUGGACAUCUUCACUGCCUACAACGACAGCCUGCAGUGCUCACAUGAGUGCGUACGGACUGCCGUCCCCAUCUACACCGAUGAGAUGAUCCAGCAGACACCUGUGUACAAGACGGCUUACAAUGGAAACAGGCCCUCCCCCACCGAAAGACAACUGAUUCCUGUGGCCUUUGUGUCGGAGAAAUGGUUCGAGAUCUCUUGUUGAUGAGCUUGUAGGCUUUCACUCAUUUACCGGGAAAGACUUCAUGAAUCCACGCUCUGGAUCCAGUUGGAAACAAGAAACACACAAAAACAGCUUAUUUUGUAAAAUAGUGUAAUCUCUCCUCGGACACUUGUGAAGAUAUUUAUUUUUCUAGAGAUAACAAGCUGAGCAGCCGUGGAGCUGCUCUUCCAUCUUUCCCGAAAAACAGCAUUCAUUUAGGUAGAGAGUACAUAUAUAUAUAUCUAAGUAUAUAUAGAUAUAUUUACAGGACGUAUGGGACAAGACUGUGGAAGACAAAGGAGCCCAAGGAGCUGCUUUGGGUGGAAGUCAAACUAUAUAUUUCUGAACAAUGUGCCAAUAAUGCCACUAUGUGCCACAACUUGGAUAAAUGGAAGUUUUAACAAUAACUGAAGGACUAAACAAAGUGUGUUGUAUUAAACCUGUAUCAGUUCUUAUUGCUUUAUUUAUUUUCUUUUUUUGUCCUUUUUUUUUAAAGAAAUGUAAAAAAAAAAAAAAAAAAAACAAACUUCAAAUGUAUUUGAAAAUGUUUCGAAGUAAUUUUGAGAAAUGUGUUGCAAAGGAGUCCAAAACAUAUUUCUACGAAUCACAAAAAAGAGAGUUAGAAAAAAAAUAUAUAGAUGGUUUAUGCUUUAUUGAACAAUUGACUAUAAAGACAUAAUUUGUAUUAAGUCCCAUUUUAAAACCGGAAUAGUUAUUUCUAUUUUUGUACACCUAGGAAUUAAAAAAAAAGAAAAAAAAAAAAAAGAGUCUGCCGCAGCACCGACAGUGGAAGUCUGGAGAACGGAGGACCGCUGCUGUCACACGCCCCCCACUCUUAGCUGAAACUAUUACAAAGGACCCCAUCUGCAUCUGGCUCACGCCAACCCAAUGCUCACGUCACUGCUUCUUAAUCAUGGAGGUUAAUCAAAACAGAUAUGGAAGGCAUUUGUGGUGAAGGUGUAUGCAACAGCACCGGAUUCAUAUAGCUUGAAUGCAGAGAGUCACGAGACACUGCAGGGAACUCCACGGGAUAUUCAUAGCACCUCAGGACUGUCCAGGUUUCAUGCAAAGUACAAAAGAGUCUCUUACUAAGCAAUUAGUGAAACUAAAUUCUGAUACUUGGUAUAAUUCAAAUGGGGAGUGGAAAAAAAGAGGCUCAAACAUCCUCGAAAAUAUAUGAAUCAGUUUUCUGGGUGAAAAAUGGGAAGCAACAGAGGAAUAAUCCUGCGGCUCAAAAUGAUCCUCAGCAAGUUUCCUUGACCAGAUGUAUUGCAAAGGCCACCUCUCUAUAGACCCACCUGGUCCUCUACCAAAGGGAAAGCAGUUCAAGGAGAAUAAAAUGUAACCAGUUUUAAUCCAAACAGACUGUGUUGAAAUAAAUUAUCCAGCCGUAUCUGAAAUAAUUCAAUUAAUAAAAGUUGACACUCCCUGAUUGUUUUGUUAAAGUCAAAGGAUUAAGACAACCCAAUUACCCACCACCAAAUUGGUUGAAACAGUCUCUGAAGUCAAGUGGAGUGAACUGCAAAGCAGCGCUCUCCCAAGAACCUCCUAGCACCACUGACUUUAUUAUUAUUAAAACUUAAACCUCUGAUUACCUUUGUGCUAUGAAGCUCUUGUGGAAACUGUCUAAUAAUCUACCUGUAAUUGUGCUGUAGGUUUGUACAAAGCACAAACACAAUUCUGUAAUUGUAAACAUUUUUUUUUCUUUUGCUGCAAACAGCAAUAUGUACAGAUUUAAUCGGUUUCACUAGGUGUUGGGAAAAUUCAUUAAUAGUAAUUCACAUGGGUCCAUUUUUUUUUAGACUUGUACACAAUUCGUAAAAUGUACCAAGAAAACAUGGCAAAUAAUUUCAAGGAGGCUGUUUCACACAUGACUGGCUGAAGAUCGUUUGGGGAUUCUACGUACAGUUUGGUGCGAUUUUUCUUUUUUUAAUAUUAUUCUUAAUGGUUUUUUUAAGUGGCUGUUCACUUAAGCAUUUCAUUAUAGAAAAGUUUCUUCUUAAGAUUUGGUCUCAUAGUUAGAAGUGUUUGGGAUGAAGAAACUGUAAGCAGGACAAAAUGCAGAGAAAUUGAUGUUUUCAAAAAUGAUGAACCUUUCUACAAUCACUGUUGUAAAGAAAGAAUUAUGAAGAAAUAAGAACUGCUUGUGUCUUAACACUUCCCAAGAGGCAAGGGAGCAAAUGGUAAAAAACAAAACAAAAACAGGUUACCAGUAAAAUAGAGAUAUUCACUGCUACGUUUGCACAUUUUCUCGCUAGCUGUUCUUCUGGAUUUUCAUUUCUUUGUUUUCAAGGCAGCCUGAACAAUCUCUGAAAGAAUUUCAGGGGAAAUGCUGCCACGUAGUUUCUAGAACAUUCCAGGACUGUGGUGCAUGUGUGAAAACGCCUUACGUGUAAACGCGAGCCCUUGUCGAGGUGUAAAAAAUUGAGUUGGGAUCAACACUGUGGUGCAAAACUCCUGCUUUUCGGCCCAAACACAAUAUAAAAAAAAAAAAAAAUUAAAAAUGGCUCUAAUGAAUAACGCAUAACUGGUUCAGCCUCAAACGCGUCAGGCUGUGUUGCGUCUUUGACAUAACAUAUAUUUUUUGAAUGAAGACUCUUACCUUCUCUAUCAGAGGGGUUGUGAAACCUACUGUAUAUUACACACGUGUAAAUGUAUUUUCUAUAUAUUUGCUUCUACUUGUGUACAGGUGUGUUCUAUUUUUCAAGGCCUUUCCUGUUGUUGGGAAGGCUUCGAGCUAGGUCGGGGAUAGUGUCUUUGUUUACAUGUGUAUCUACAGUAUUUCUUUCAAAAACACAAAAACUAACCUUGUGCCAAGCUUCUUCUCUGCACUUUCGAGCAGUACUUGUAUGAUAUCUUUAGCUAACCAGUAUAAAACGUCAGUAGAUGCUGCAAUAGUUCACUGGCUGAAAAGUGGAAGGUCUGAAAGUAAGAAUAUUGGGAGGCUUUAUCAGGUUCUGGUGCAUUUAUGGAUUGGCUGGAAAACCAAUGACUUGCUCUUCUCAAACACUUUUAAGUGGAAUUUAAUAUAAAGAGCACCAUCACAUGAAUAUUAAUUUCAAAAACAAAACAAAACAACCGAUGCCAAGAAACCAACUAAACUUGAUCUAUGUUGAGUUCCUUCCAUCUGUCAUUCUUUUUUUUUUACUUUAUUUAUUUUUUGCUACACUUGCCCCAGAAAUUUUAGAAUUUGGCACAAGCUUCUACUAAUGAAGUACAUGAUGCCGAUGAUGUAAAAAUAAAAGUGUUAACUGAAUGAAUGAAAACACAUAGUUUGAAAACAAGUUCUUUUUCUCAAAGUUAUUUCCUGGUUUGUAAAAUCACCUGUACAUUUUAACCUGUAUUGCUUCAAUGGCAGUCCUGAUAAUGUUAUAACUGGGAUGCCUGAUUAGCAUGGAAAAACAGACGCUUUAGCAAGGCAACCUGUGUAGACCAGUUGCAGCAUAACACCAUAAAUGCAACAUAUGAACUCAUUUCUUUUCUUAUCUGGCUACACAGUUUACUUCCCUACAAUUUUCUGUUGCAAAUACUGAGGGAAUGAAAUAAAUUCUUCCCCAAGUUGGAUCUGAUUUUCUAAGCGGGUGCAUUUAUUUUGCGCAGCGAAUGAAUAUUUUGCAGCUUCUGUUUCCGUCACCUCACUCGCCUACGAAUACUUCCCCUCAGCACAAAGACGCUAUCGACCAGCAGAGGCUUGCUCUGUCAAGACGAAGGAUAAGACAAAUUUACAGGUCCUGUGAUUUGUGUUUGCAUGUGUCAAGACAUAUGGAGUGGAACUUAUCGACAUAUGUAUUGUUUAAACAUCUAAAUGUUGACUGAACAUUUCCAAGGUUUUUUUUUUAUAUUUCAUUUCCCAGCCAUAUCGUUAAACAGCAUUACCAUAAGAGGAAGAGAGUCGAUGAAUCGAGUCGGCUUCGUUAUCAGGCUUUUGGUGUCCGACGAGCCCAGAAACGUGGCGUUGACAGCGACAAGGUGGCGGUUUGAAUUUGAUCAAAGUCAAUAGGGUGCUCAAUGAGGCGAGACUCUGCAGGAGGAGAGAAAUAUUUGAUGUGACAAUAAAUCUUAACGAUUCAAUUCCUUAGCUGUGAGGAAACUGUAGCUCCUCACUCUGCUUCUCCUUGUUUCAGGAAAAUCUCGUACUGUGUGCUUACUGUAAUCGCAGCAGAGGGCUCUGACUCUGCUCUUGGGUCAUGUUUUUUAUUUUUUACUUUUUAUUCUUAUUAUCCACAAGAGCUAAAGCACUGCUGGCGCUUAUCUAUACAGUGAAAGACUUGGGAACAUAGAAGAAAAACAUUUUUUGUUUGCAGCACCCCAGAUUUUCUCAUUACGCAUCGGCGAGAGGGGGCAGUAGUAACGUGACCCAAAUCUGCCGUUGAUUCACACAGAAGGCCUCUAGCACUGUAAGAUGCCUUUUGCAGCAGAGUGCAGAUCCGAACUGAGUGGCAUGUAAAGGGAAUCUGAGAAGCAGGAAGGAACAGGAAGAGAGCUACUGCAGACUGGUGGGGAGCGUUUAGUGACGACAAAAUCGGAGGCUGAAGUUGAGCUAAUAUGGGAGAGAAAAAUAAAAAGUGUCAUUUAUAUCAUACGUUGUGUUUACAGGUGGGAG
RNA transcript from Xiphophorus couchianus (Monterrey platyfish), 6740 nucleotides. It is a transcript of the gene named adherens junctions associated protein 1, with no coding region annotated. NCBI's taxonomy places the organism in Eukaryota, Metazoa, Chordata, Actinopteri, Cyprinodontiformes, Poeciliidae. The transcript is spliced from 7 exons. The record is from RefSeq and is a predicted model, not a curated record.